GCGAAAGCUCACUUCUUCAGGCAGUUGUGUGUUCACGAAAAGCUUUGACGGAAUAUUUUGAAUCUGCCAUUAAAAAAAACACGAAAGAACCGACACACCACAUUGAUUUAUAUGACUUCUUUCUUUUUUAUUAUUACACACGCUUCGAAUGUUUUUCCAUCUUCUUUUUUAUAACAUUAUGGAUGAUACGGCAGAGAAACUGCGUGUUAAGGACGCGUCUCUGGGGGCAACUGCAAAAUCUGUUUCAAAUGGAACGAAGAAUCAUCUUCGACUGUAUUCAUGCUCCUUUUUGGAUCUUCUGCUGACGUGGACGAAUUAGAAAGUAA
RNAcentral lists this non-coding RNA (326 nucleotides) under Aulacoseira subarctica. The record is from RNAcentral. Lineage: Eukaryota; Bacillariophyta; Melosirophyceae; Melosirales; Aulacoseiraceae.